GCUUGGGUAAGUUAUUUAACCUCUCUGUGCCUUGGUUCCUCAGGUGUAAGACGGGGAUAAAAUACUAUUUCCCCAGUAGUGCAUGCAGCCUGUUGCCGGUAUGGGUUGCCCUAAGGGGCCUUGGAGACAGCC
Balaenoptera ricei (Rice's whale) is the source of this 132-nucleotide small nucleolar RNA. RefSeq annotates it as small nucleolar RNA SNORA70. Lineage: Eukaryota; Metazoa; Chordata; Mammalia; Artiodactyla; Balaenopteridae. The transcript has a single exon. The record is from RefSeq and is a predicted model, not a curated record.